RNAcentral lists this ribosomal RNA (207 nucleotides) under uncultured bacterium. Its description in RNAcentral is "partial 16S ribosomal RNA". It matches the Rfam family "Bacterial small subunit ribosomal RNA", at positions 568 to 774 of the family's 1533-position model. The record is from RNAcentral.
CUCGUAGGUGGCCAACUAAGUCGGACGUGAAAUCCCUCGGCUUAACCGGGGAACUGCGUCCGAUACUGGAUGGCUUGAGUUUGGGAGAGGGACGCGGAACUUCCAGGUGUAGCGGUGAAAUGCGUAGAUAUCUGGAGGAACACCGGUGGCGAAGGCGGCGUCCUGGACCAACACUGACACUGAUGAGCGAAAGCCAGGGAGCAAACG